UGUUCCUGAAGAUUCUCAGCAAUCAGAGCAGAAGAGUGAUCACCGCAAACCUAGAAGAAAACCUAAAUCUGGACUGAAUCGAACACGCUCCGUGAAGGCUGUAGUUGAAGAUGCAAAACUAUUCCUUGGUGAAAGCCCUGAAGGACCUGAGCCUAGUAAUAGGGUGCAGUCACAUGAAACCAGUCAUGUCAAUGAAGAAAGUGCUGGUGUUUCUAGUCAUACUGUUGAGGGGGCAGGACCACGGAGUAAUGCAAGAAAACGGCAACGCCAACAAAAUUCCCAAGUUAGAGACAGUGAGUUGGAUGCUGCAGAUAGUGAAGGACACUCUGAUAGUGUCACGGCUGGUGGGAGAAGGAAGAGGCAACAAACAGUUACUCCAGGCCUCCAAACCCCAGGACAAAACCGAUACAAUCUCAGGCGACCCAAGACGUAAGUUCCAUCUUAUUAUAUGUAAUAUUCUCAAUGACUUCUGGUAAUAAAUUGUACAAUGUUGCUUUUUAUGUGGUGUGGUGCUUUGACUAGAUUCACAUAAGUUGCCCUUCUAAUUUUGAUUGAAAGGUAAGAAAUGCUGAUUUGUUGUAUUGUAGGAUUCUCUUUUAGAAGAAAUUUAUUCAGAACCCUUUUAAGUUCUAAAUUUGCCUUUGUGGAGUUUUUGCUUGUGCUUAGCCUGUAACUGAAUUUGCCAUUAAUAUUGAAACGGAAAUGGGUUUAUGAGCCUUUUUGAUGGUCUUUUGCAUAUCAGAUGCUGCGACGACUACCCCUUCUUUCUUGGACCAGAAAAUAUAUGUUCGGAAUGAGAAGUACUCAACACAAUAAGUAAAUAACUACAAAUAAAUUAAGUUAAUUCUCUCAUCAAUACUUUCCAAUCCUUUCUAAAGAACUAUGUAUCAGCAGGAUUACAUUGUAAUGAUUUAAAACAAGAUUUAGGAUUUCAAAUAAAACAAUCAAAGCAUACGGAUUUGGUUUCAUACUAUUUAGCUGCAUAUAAUAGUGUUAGAAGUGGAAUUAAUGGAUUAAAAAAUGGUGAAAAGAAAAAAACCUUUUUGGUUGCAUUAUUGUUGAAAAAGUUGUUUUCAAAUUUUUAGAAGAGGGUGUUUCCAAACAUUUUAAUUACUGCUUGAAUGACAAUUUAUGUUAAUGUUUGGAGGUCAGUUCAUAUUUGUGUGUUGGACUGUGAUGCAAGGACAAAUAUAUUGUUCAAAUUUGAAUAGAAUGGUACAUGCAAAACUAAAUAUGAAAAAAUAUGCUCCACCACAUAGAAGGGUACUAAAAAUAUGUUAAGAUCUGUGUUUCAGAUGUUGGAGAAUGUUGACAGAUACUGGAAGGCCUAAUUGCAUAUAAGGGAACCAUUUAUGUAUCUUUAAUUAUGUAGCAUAGAAAGGAAAUAUUUUUGGGGGAUAUAGUGGUCCGUUAUUCUUUUAUUUUUGUUUUGUGUGUGUGUGAAAUGGAAAAUAUCUCCAGUGGAGGAAACCAUUUCUUCUAUUUAACCAGGGUUUUCUAUAACUGGAUAGUUUUUCGUGGUCUUAGGUUAUUGUCUAGGAUAUGAUUAAGGUUCACAAGAGGUGAAAACACUUGAUUAUUCUAAAUAUACUUUAAAAAAAAAAUAUUUUUACAGUACAGUCACAGCCACAGCAGCACAGGCCUCAUCUGAUGUCCUGAAGACUAGGAAGGAGCCUGAGGAUGGUGGGUUGGAGGGAGGAGUGCAUACUAGGAAGGAGCCUGAGGAUGGUGGGUUGGAGGGAGGAGUGCAUACAAGGAAGGAGCCUGAGGAUGGUGGGUUGGAGGGAGGAGUGCAUACUAGGAAGGAACCUGAGGAUGGUGAGAACAGAAGAUCUAACUUGGUGCAGGUUACAACAAUAAAAAAUGUGGAGAUCUUAGAAAGCGAGGUGGUU
This 1892-nucleotide long non-coding RNA is filed under the name Gossypium raimondii (Peruvian cotton). RNAcentral's name for it is "long non-coding RNA (GRAI_LNC006701)". The record is from RNAcentral. Lineage: Eukaryota; Viridiplantae; Streptophyta; Magnoliopsida; Malvales; Malvaceae.